RNAcentral lists this ribosomal RNA (446 nucleotides) under uncultured bacterium. RNAcentral's name for it is "partial 16S ribosomal RNA". It matches the Rfam family "Bacterial small subunit ribosomal RNA", at positions 338 to 795 of the family's 1533-position model. The record is from RNAcentral.
CCUACGGGCGGCAGCAGUCGAGAAUCAUUCACAAUGGGGGAAACCCUGAUGGUGCGACGCCGCGUGGGGGAAUGAAGGUCUUCGGAUUGUAAACCCCUGUCAUGUGGGAGCAAAUUAAAAAGAUAGUACCACAAGAGGAAGAGACGGCUAACUCUGUGCCAGCAGCCGCGGUAAUACAGAGGUCUCAAGCGUUGUUCGGAAUCACUGGGCGUAAAGCGUGCGUAGGCUGUUUCGUAAGUCGUGUGUGAAAGGCGCGGGCUCAACCCGCGGACGGCACAUGAUACUGCGAGACUAGAGUAAUGGAGGGGGAACCGGAAUUCUCGGUGUAGCAGUGAAAUGCGGAGAUAUCGAGAGGAACACUCGUGGCGUAGGCGGGUUCCUGGACAUUAACUGACGCUGAGGCACGAAGGCCAGGAGAGCGAAAGGGAUUAGAUACCCUUGUAGUC